CUCCGGAGGCCUGGCCCAGCCGCCUCCUCCCUCCUUCCCUCCAAACUUAACCCCCUGAGCAGCACAGGCUACCGAGGGCUAUGCUGUAUGCGAGGCCCCAGGGAGGUGCUGUGACCCCCUGGCCAGUGCAAAUCCUGCGGCGCCAAGCUGGUGCUCCGACACGCGCGCAUGCGGCAGCACAAGGCAGGGCACCCAUCACAGGGUCCCCCCGGCACGGCCGGCUACGCUGGGAAGCCACAGCACUCCGCCAUGAUGGUGUGAGGCAGCCACCUGCUUGGGGGCAGGUACAGGGUAGCAAAUCUCUCCCAGGGACACGGGGCUAAACCCCGGGACAGGUGAAACCUUGGGCUUUUUAGGAGCUGAUAAGCCAGGCACCUCCAGGAGGAAGGUGCUGCCACACUCUCCGCUCAUGGCCCAGAGGAUGAAGGCAGAGCAGCAGCAGCUCCUCUUGGCAUGCCAGGGUGUGGCGGACAGAUGAAUGAAUUUUUUUCCUUAAACAUUCCUUGGUGCAUGGGGUGCAGGCAGGCCAUAACCCCGAACAAGCCAUCUGUCCCUGGCGGAAACAGGACUGGGCUGCUGUGACCCCCUGGGACACACCGAGCCUGCACUGAACGAGACCACAAUCGGGCAGAGACUUUGGGAUCUGGACUGUAAAUUAUUGUCUGUUUUUAGCACAACUUCUAUAAAACUUGCUUGGCAUGAGUGGCUAAAUUUGCUGAAGCCUUAGGCCGCACUCCCUAGUUCGGUGGGAAAGGGCCCCAGAGCUGGUGCAGAAGGGAACGAUAUGGGAGUUACCAGCAAUUUGCAUCUGAAACAGUGCUAAUUGCUGGAGUUACCACCUCUUUGUCAGGACCUUGAGAGAUGACGGUGGGACCCGUGGAAUGGAGACGCACCUGUCGGCAGAAACUGCAACAGAAAAGGUAAGGGAGAAAAGCAGCCUGCCUAGGAACAACGAUGAGAUCCAAUCAGGAGCAGGAGACCCCAGAUCCCAAAAUUACUAUUGGUCUGAACUACCGCGUGUGUGUGGGGGGGAACUUAAUUUGAAAAAGCUAUAAUUGCCCAGGGAUCUCUUUGUUCGGGGUCCCUCUUCAGAGGCACCCAACUCGAGCUGUAACCACUGCACGCGUGUCAUUACAAUUUAUUUAUUUAAUUUGCCUUGAUUUCGCUCCGAGCUUUUCAGCGGGAACCUAGGGUCGGACCCUGCUCGAGUUGUAAUUACUGCACGCGCAUCGCCAAAACUUACACCCACGGUGAAGAGGACCCACCUACCACCAGACGGGAGCCCCCCCCCGCCACCGCCGAGACUCCACGGGACACCGCUGGAUCCACAGUGCAUUAACACAAACAACAUCAUGAUCUGUUUAAUCAACAUACGUGGCCUCUGGUAAUCCUACGCAGAAAGAACACUGCAAAUCAGAUGAUAUUCUGCCAUUAAUCAUCGACCUAGUAUGACUUGGUGGACUUCGCGAGGACCUACCAGAUGCAGUGAACGCACCCAUCUAUUCUUCCGUGCAUGGCCUAGAAGGAUCUCUCUGGUCAACAGAUGUUUUUAAAUGCUCUUUCACAUGGGAAAAUUGUGAAGUACAUAUUUUUAUUGCACCCUUGCUAUUUUAUUCAGCCAUGUGGAUCUCCAGGGAUGGAGACGUACUUAAGAAAAGUAUUUGCUUCUAAAAGCUUCUACAGUUUUUUGCAAUACCUUCUUGGCUUAGCCAGUCCAGCAACAUACACAUGUAUUUCUAUUUUGCAGCAAUUAGUAAGAUAUACUAAUUAUACUGCUGUAUAUUUAAAGGCAAUUCAUUUUGUAGAAAAAAAAUUCUGGUUAUACCAAUUCUCUUAACCAUCAUCAGAAAGAAACCCUGACUACCCAUCAUAUUGCUUUAUUAAAUUACUGUCUUUUCUGUCCCA
Long non-coding RNA from Dromaius novaehollandiae (emu), 1905 nucleotides. RefSeq lists it as uncharacterized. The transcript is spliced from 2 exons. NCBI's taxonomy places the organism in Eukaryota, Metazoa, Chordata, Aves, Casuariiformes, Dromaiidae. The record is from RefSeq and is a predicted model, not a curated record.